Molecule: long non-coding RNA, 727 nt
Organism: Galeopterus variegatus (Sunda flying lemur)
Lineage: Eukaryota; Metazoa; Chordata; Mammalia; Dermoptera; Cynocephalidae
Exons: 3
Source: RefSeq, a predicted model, not a curated record
CAGCCAGACACAACCCAGGGGUUCAGGCACCACUCCCAAGUCCCUACCACCUUUGAGAAGCCAAAGCCUCAAGUCCCGCUCCGGCCCCUCUCAGCUCCGGGACCAGGGGAGCGCGUCCCUCCCGCUCCAAGCCGCCUCGAGGACCACCCGGCACCACCACCAGAAGGGGCAAGAGCCUGCACCUGCCGACAGGGAGUGGCGCUGGCUCACGAAUGGCGUGCCCCAGCUGGACUGGGCAUCAGAUGCCGACCUUGCCCUGACUGAGAUACCACCAGUGACAAGAGAUCCUGCUCAGGAGUUUAGCAUGGAGAGGCCCCUGGGGGUGAAAUCACGCCCUCACUCCUGUUCUGUGUGUCCCUCAGGCUGAGUGUCCUCCUGGUCAGCCUUAUGGCUGCUUUCAGAGGUAGUGGUCUGAGUAAGAGACAGGACAGGAGGCAGGUGCCAGAGUUCAAGAGUCAGCCCUCUUCUGCAAGCCUGGCUGGUGGCCUGGGAUCAGAGCAGCCAGACCUCUUCACUGCCUGCUGGGCUCAAACUCCAGUUCUGCUUCUUACCAGCUGGGUGGCUUGGCUUAUUUCUUUGACCUUAAAUGCCUUCUUUUGUGAAAUGGGGUCAUCACAGUGCCUGCCUCCCAGGGUGUUCAGGAGGACUGAAGAAUGUGGUAAAACAUCUAACGAAAGUGCCUGGCACAUAGUAGUUCCUCAAUAAACUGCCAUUUCCUUCUCCAUCA